UACGGAGGGGGCUAGCGUUGUUCGGAAUUACUGGGCGUAAAGCGCACGUAGGCGGACUGGAAAGUUGGGGGUGAAAUCCCGGGGCUCAACCUCGGAACUGCCUUCAAAACUAUCAGUCUGGAGUUCGAGAGAGGUGAGUGGAAUACCGAGUGUAGAGGUGAAAUUCGUAGAUAUUCGGUGGAACACCAGUGGCGAAGGCGGCUCACUGGCUCGAUACUGACGCUGAGGUGCGAAAGCGUGGGGAGCAAAC
This 250-nucleotide ribosomal RNA is filed under the name uncultured bacterium. RNAcentral describes it as "partial 16S ribosomal RNA". It matches the Rfam family "Bacterial small subunit ribosomal RNA", at positions 524 to 773 of the family's 1533-position model. The record is from RNAcentral.